Non-coding RNA from Homo sapiens (human), 148 nucleotides. It matches the Rfam family "Metazoan signal recognition particle RNA". From Rfam's summary of the family: The signal recognition particle (SRP) is a universally conserved ribonucleoprotein. The record is from Rfam. Lineage: Eukaryota; Metazoa; Chordata; Mammalia; Primates; Hominidae.
GCCAGGCGUGGGGGCGCAUGCCUGUAAUCCCAGCUACUUGGGAGGCUGAGGCAGGAGAAUCUCUUGAACCUGGGAGGCUGAGGUUUCAGUGAGCCAAGAUGGCGCCACUGCACUCCAGCCUGGGUGACAAAGCAAGACUCUGUCUCAA